Molecule: ribosomal RNA, 497 nt
Filed under: uncultured bacterium
Lineage: Bacteria
Description: partial 16S ribosomal RNA
Rfam family: Bacterial small subunit ribosomal RNA
Source: RNAcentral
GACGAACGCUGGCGGCGUGCCUAAUACAUGCAAGUAGAACGCUGAAGCUUGGUGCUUGCACCGAGCGGAUGAGUUGCGAACGGGUGAGUAACGCGUAGGUAACCUGCCUGGUAGCGGGGGAUAACUAUUGGAAACGAUAGCUAAUACCGCAUAAGAGUAGAUGUUGCAUGACAUUUGCUUAAAAGGUGCAAUUGCAUCACUACCAGAUGGACCUGCGUUGUAUUAGCUAGUUGGUGAGGUAACGGCUCACCAAGGCAACGAUACAUAGCCGACCUGAGAGGGUGAUCGGCCACACUGGGACUGAGACACGGCCCAGACUCCUACGUGAGGCAGCAGUAGGGAAUCUUCGGCAAUGGACGGAAGUCUGACCGAGCAACGCCGCGUGAGUGAAGAAGGUUUUCGGAUCGUAAAGCUCUGUUGUAAGAGAAGAACGAGUGUGAGAGUGGAAAGUUCACACUGUGACGGUAUCUUACCAGAAAGGGACGGCUAACUACGUG